UCUUGGAUUCAAAGUUUUCAACAAGGAUUUUUUUGAAUGUGAUUCGGCCAAGUUUGUCAAGUGAUUGUGAUUGGGCCAAGUUUUCUCUUAUUUAAUUGAUUUCGGUUUUUCUGGUUUCUAAGGCUAAAAAACUGACCCGAACCGAACAAAACCGGUUCGGUUUGAACCGGUUCUCAGUUCGGUUCGGGUUAUAUUAACAAGGAAUAGUAUUUUCCGAUUCGGUUGAAUUUUUAUGUUAAAACCGGACCGAACCGGACCAUGAACACCCCUAGU
RNAcentral lists this long non-coding RNA (273 nucleotides) under Populus tremula. RNAcentral describes it as "long non-coding RNA (PTRE_LNC000929)". The record is from RNAcentral. Lineage: Eukaryota; Viridiplantae; Streptophyta; Magnoliopsida; Malpighiales; Salicaceae.